This is a long non-coding RNA of Brassica napus (rape), 1353 nucleotides long. RefSeq lists it as uncharacterized. The record is from RefSeq and is a predicted model, not a curated record. Lineage: Eukaryota; Viridiplantae; Streptophyta; Magnoliopsida; Brassicales; Brassicaceae. The transcript has 3 exons.
CGGCGGUGUUAAAACUAACGGAGUUUGCCAUAAACGGCGUCUGGGUUUUCGUGACCGCGACAAAGCCUCGUGUAAGUUACGACGGGGCCCCGCGUUAUACGACACCGUUUGGGAUAAUGUUUGGUUGCAGGGGUAUGAGUGUCCAAUUCGUGAUUGUGGAUAGCGGAGACACUAGCAGACAGAUAAUCAGAUAUUUUUCCGACAAGCUUAUGAAGUCACCAUCUGAUCACGCCGCGGGGAUAAUCGACGGCUCAUACCAUCCGGUUAGAGAUCGCCGAGGAAGUUCGCAAUCUAUCUGAGAAACACUGCGAGGGAUGUUUGGAACUCUUAGUGAGGAGCGGCAUAAACGUCAAGGGGCUGCAACAUCAAUGUUUGGAACUAACGCAGUCAGCGACACGAGCAGGAAAUCAGGAUACCGGUUGGUUGGAGAUGUGGAUUUUGCUCAAGCUUCUUAAGUUGCAGGUUUCAUAACUCCAGUCCCUGGUGGUGUAGGCCCAAUGAUCCUUUUUCAUAGACUUAACGAUACAUUGAAAAUCUUAAAGCAUACGUGAUCCUUUUUCAUAGACUUAACAAAACUUAAGUUAUCAAGUCACAAGCUGCUCAAGGUAUGGCAAAUUCCACAUACCAUGGAUGCUAACUCUCACCUAAUGUAGAUGCUCUAGGUCUAUCUGACAAGAAAUAAACACUCGGAAUAACUUUUCAUGCUUUCUGCAGUUGAACAAAAAGAUUAUAGGUAAAGUAUAACGAAUCAUGCAAGAAAACAAUAGUAGUAAGUAAACUCUGAGAUUCAAACCUGCACAGGGAGAUAGAGCUUGAACUCCGAAGGGAGCUCUUCGUCUGAGUAAAGACGGUCAGCAAAGCAUAUCCUUCUAGGACUGCAGUUAGCAUGAACCUGAACUCGCAAAGUCUCAGCGUAAUUAGUCCCAUAAGCUCUCCUAGUAAGAUCAGUAUCACAUGCGUGUCCAAGUUUGAGCCAAAAAGAUGUUGACGAUGAACUACUAGUUAAUCCCGGUCGCGAGAUGGAAGCAUUGACAGAGAUAUCACCGACUUCGCAAGAUUACAAUAUAUACAUGCUCGGCAAACUGCCACCAAAAUACUUAUUGUAUCUCAAUUCCUGUGGGGACAAAAUGGGGCCCAGUGGUGAUGAAUGUAUUGACGAUGUUCUUAGAGAGAUUCUUACGAAUAAACAUGCUUCCAAAGAGUGUUGUGUAGAGGUAGUAAAAACUGGAAAAGAAUGCUACAUGGAAAUUCAAAAGUUUAUUUUUCGAUUGUAUCAAUUCAAACGCUUUGCUUCUCAAGUUUCUUUCAGAACUAAUCAGGUGUGGGAUAGAUGUUCUUCUGAAGUUGAAACUC